Molecule: long non-coding RNA, 147 nt
Organism: Thalassophryne amazonica
Lineage: Eukaryota; Metazoa; Chordata; Actinopteri; Batrachoidiformes; Batrachoididae
Exons: 4
Source: RefSeq, a predicted model, not a curated record
CCGGCCAAAAAAAACAGCGCAAAGGCUGUGAUCAUGGCAGCACAAGAACAAGCCCUAAGCACCAGAUCCAUAGAGUCAGGAGUCUACCACAGAAGACAGAACCCAAGUUACAGGCUGUGCAAAUGUGCCUCAGAGACAGUCCAGCAC